CCUACGGGUGGCAGCAGUGAGGAAUAUUGGUCAAUGGGCUUACGCCUGAACCAGCCAAAUCGCGUGAGGGAAGACUGCCCUAUGGGUUGUAAACCUCUUUUGUCAGGGAGCAACGCCGGCUACGUGUAGCCGGACUGAGAGUACCGGAAGAAAAAGCAUCGGCUAACUCCGUGCCAGCAGCCGCGGUAAUACGGAGGAUGCGAGCGUUAUCCGGAUUGAUUGGGUUUAAAGGGUGCGCAGGCGGAAUGUCAAGUCAGUGGUAACAUUUCGGGGCUCAACCCCGUCGUGCCGUUGAAACUGGCGUUCUUGAGUGAGCGAGAAGUAUGCGGAAUGCGUGGUGUAGCGGUGAAAUGCAUAGAUAUCACGCAGAACUCCGAUUGCGAAGGCAGCAUACCGGCGCUCAACUGACGCUCAUGCACGAAAGCGUGGGUAUCGAACAGGAUUAGAUACCCCUGUAGUC
This 460-nucleotide ribosomal RNA is filed under the name uncultured bacterium. RNAcentral's name for it is "partial 16S ribosomal RNA". It matches the Rfam family "Bacterial small subunit ribosomal RNA", at positions 338 to 795 of the family's 1533-position model. The record is from RNAcentral.